Molecule: ribosomal RNA, 484 nt
Filed under: uncultured bacterium
Lineage: Bacteria
Description: partial 16S ribosomal RNA
Rfam family: Bacterial small subunit ribosomal RNA
Source: RNAcentral
AUUGAACGCUGGCGGCAGGCCUAACACAUGCAAGUCGAGCGGAUGAAGGGAGCUUGCUCCUGGAUUCAGCGGCGGACGGGUGAGUAAUGCCUAGGAAUCUGCCUGGUAUUGGGGGAUAACGUCCUGAAACGGGCGCUAAUACCGCAUACGUCCUGAGGGAGAAAGUGGGGGAUCUUCGGACCUCACGCUAUCAGAUGAGCCUAGGUCGGAUUAGCUAGUUGGUGGGGUAAAGGCCUACCAAGGCGACGAUCCGUAACUGGUCUGAGAGGAUGAUCAGUCACACUGGAACUGAGACACGGUCCAGACUACUACGGGAGGCAGCAGUGGGGAAUAUUAGACAGUGGUCGAAAGCCUGAUCCAGCCAUGCCGCGUGUGUGAAGAAGGUCUUCGGAUUGUAAAGCACUUUAAGUUGGGAGGAAGGGCAGUAAGUUAAUACCUUGCUGUUUUGACGUUACCAACAGAAUAAGCACCGGCUAACUUCGUG